This is a non-coding RNA of Megalopta genalis, 132 nucleotides long. NCBI's taxonomy places the organism in Eukaryota, Metazoa, Arthropoda, Insecta, Hymenoptera, Halictidae. The record is from RefSeq and is a predicted model, not a curated record.
UUCCGCGCCGCAAUGUUGCCAUGUCGUCAAAACUGUUUCACAAACUGAGUUUCAUGAAACUGAUUCCUGCUUCAUGAGCCCGUUCUGCCGCGCGCUAGGUUACUAGACCAGGGGAAUGUGGCGUGCGGGGCA